RNAcentral lists this ribosomal RNA (649 nucleotides) under Pantoea eucalypti. Its description in RNAcentral is "bacterial SSU rRNA". It matches the Rfam family "Bacterial small subunit ribosomal RNA", at positions 794 to 1442 of the family's 1533-position model. Lineage: Bacteria; Pseudomonadati; Pseudomonadota; Gammaproteobacteria; Enterobacterales; Erwiniaceae. The record is from RNAcentral.
UCCACGCCGUAAACGAUGUCGACUUGGAGGUUGUUCCCUUGAGGAGUGGCUUCCGGAGCUAACGCGUUAAGUCGACCGCCUGGGGAGUACGGCCGCAAGGUUAAAACUCAAAUGAAUUGACGGGGGCCCGCACAAGCGGUGGAGCAUGUGGUUUAAUUCGAUGCAACGCGAAGAACCUUACCUACUCUUGACAUCCACCGAACUCCGCAGAGAUGCCUUCGUGCCUUCGGGAACUCUGAGACAGGUGCUGCAUGGCUGUCGUCAGCUCGUGUUGUGAAAUGUUGGGUUAAGUCCCGCAACGAGCGCAACCCUUAUCCUUUCUUGCCAGCACGUAACGGUGGGAACUCAAAGGAGACUGCCGGUGAUAAACCGGAGGAAGGUGGGGAUGACGUCAAGUCAUCAUGGCCCUUACGAGUAGGGCUACACACGUGCUACAAUGGCGCAUACAAAGAGAAGCGACCUCGCGAGAGCAAGCGGACCUCACAAAGUGCGUCGUAGUCCGGAUCGGAGUCUGCAACUCGACUCCGUGAAGUCGGAAUCGCUAGUAAUCGUGGAUCAGAAUGCCACGGUGAAUACGUUCCCGGGCCUUGUACACACCGCCCGUCACACCAUGGGAGUGGGUUGCAAAAGAAGUAGGUAGCUUAACCUU